GUACUUGCUUCGGCGUACAUAUACUAAAAUCUGGAAAACGAUAGAGUAGAUUAGCAUGGACCUGCGCAAGGAUGACACGCAAAAUCGUGGGAAGCGUGUCCACAAUUAU
This is a non-coding RNA of Cherax quadricarinatus, 109 nucleotides long. The record is from RefSeq and is a predicted model, not a curated record. NCBI's taxonomy places the organism in Eukaryota, Metazoa, Arthropoda, Malacostraca, Decapoda, Parastacidae.